CCUACGGGAGGCAGCAGUGAGGAAUAUUGGUCAAUGGGCGCGAGCCUGAACCAGCCAAGUCGCGUGAGGGAGGACGGCCCUACGGGUUGUAAACCUCUUUUGCCGGGGAGCAACGGGCGUCACGUGUGGCGCCCCUGAGAGUACCCGGAGACAAAGCCUCGGCUAACUCUGUGCCAGCGGCCGCGGUAAUCCGGAGGGUGCGAGGGUUAUCCGGUUUUAUUGGGUUUAAAGGGUGGGUAGGCGGAUCGUUAAGUCAGUGGUCAAAUUGAGGGGCUCAACCCCUGCCCGCCAUUGAAACUGGCGAGCUUGAGUGGAAGAGAGGUAGGCGGAAUGCGUGGUGUAGCGGUGAAAUGCAUAGAUAUCACGCAGAACCCCGAUUGCGAAGGCAGCAUGCCGGAUUCCGACUGACGCUGAAGCACGAAAGCGUGGGGAUCGAACAGGAUUAGAUACCCCGGUAGUC
RNAcentral lists this ribosomal RNA (460 nucleotides) under uncultured bacterium. RNAcentral describes it as "partial 16S ribosomal RNA". It matches the Rfam family "Bacterial small subunit ribosomal RNA", at positions 338 to 795 of the family's 1533-position model. The record is from RNAcentral.